RNAcentral lists this ribosomal RNA (448 nucleotides) under uncultured bacterium. Its description in RNAcentral is "bacterial SSU rRNA". It matches the Rfam family "Bacterial small subunit ribosomal RNA", at positions 331 to 795 of the family's 1533-position model. The record is from RNAcentral.
CCAGACUCCUACGGGAGGCAGCAGUGGGGGAUAUUGCACAAUGGGGGAAACCCUGAUGCAGCGACGCCGCGUGGGUGAAGGAGCGUUUCGGCGCGUAAAGCCCUAUCGGCAGGGAAGAAGGAGGACGGUACCUGACUAAGAAGCCCCGGCUAACUACGUGCCAGCAGCCGCGGUAAUACGUAGGGGGCAAGCGUUAUCCGGAUUUACUGGGUGUAAAGGGGGCGCAGACGGCAGCGCAAGCCAGGAGUGAAAGCCCGGGGCUCAACCCCGGGACUGCAUUUGAAACUGUCAGGCCGGAGUGCAGGAGAGGUAAGUGGAAUUCCUAGUGUAGCGGUGAAAUGCGUAGAUAUUAGGAGGAACACCAGUGGCGAAGGCGGCUUACUGGACUGUAACUGACGUUGAGGCUCGAAAGCGUGGGGAGCAAACAGGAUUAGAUACCCUAGUAAAC